Molecule: ribosomal RNA, 799 nt
Filed under: Staphylococcus sp. H11-CRBM-P2P21
Lineage: Bacteria; Bacillati; Bacillota; Bacilli; Caryophanales; Staphylococcaceae
Description: bacterial SSU rRNA
Rfam family: Bacterial small subunit ribosomal RNA
Source: RNAcentral
GCUAUACAUGCAGUCGAGCGAACAGACAAGGAGCUUGCUCCUUUGACGUUAGCGGCGGACGGGUGAGUAACACGUGGGUAACCUACCUAUAAGACUGGGAUAACUUCGGGAAACCGGAGCUAAUACCGGAUAAUAUUUCGAACCGCAUGGUUCGAUAGUGAAAGAUGGUUUUGCUAUCACUUAUAGAUGGACCCGCGCCGUAUUAGCUAGUUGGUAAGGUAACGGCUUACCAAGGCGACGAUACGUAGCCGACCUGAGAGGGUGAUCGGCCACACUGGAACUGAGACACGGUCCAGACUCCUACGGGAGGCAGCAGUAGGGAAUCUUCCGCAAUGGGCGAAAGCCUGACGGAGCAACGCCGCGUGAGUGAUGAAGGUCUUCGGAUCGUAAAACUCUGUUAUUAGGGAAGAACAUACGUGUAAGUAACUGUGCACGUCUUGACGGUACCUAAUCAGAAAGCCACGGCUAACUACGUGCCAGCAGCCGCGGUAAUACGUAGGUGGCAAGCGUUAUCCGGAAUUAUUGGGCGUAAAGCGCGCGUAGGCGGUUUUUUAAGUCUGAUGUGAAAGCCCACGGCUCAACCGUGGAGGGUCAUUGGAAACUGGAAAACUUGAGUGCAGAAGAGGAAAGUGGAAUUCCAUGUGUAGCGGUGAAAUGCGCAGAGAUAUGGAGGAACACCAGUGGCGAAGGCGACUUUCUGGUCUGUAACUGACGCUGAUGUGCGAAAGCGUGGGGAUCAAACAGGAUUAGAUACCCUGGUAGUCCACGCCGUAAACGAUGAGUGCUAAGUGUUAGGGGG